GUGCUUUCUUCAACAGCAAAUGUACUAAAAUUGGAAUAAUACAGAGAAAUAUAGCAUGGCUCCUGUGCAAAGAUGACAUGCAAAUUUGUGAAACAUUACAAAUAUAU
Small nuclear RNA from Cynocephalus volans (Philippine flying lemur), 107 nucleotides. Lineage: Eukaryota; Metazoa; Chordata; Mammalia; Dermoptera; Cynocephalidae. The record is from RefSeq and is a predicted model, not a curated record.